RNAcentral lists this ribosomal RNA (489 nucleotides) under Aspergillus pseudoglaucus. Its description in RNAcentral is "eukaryotic LSU rRNA". The stretch from base 121 to 274 matches the Rfam family "5.8S ribosomal RNA". Lineage: Eukaryota; Fungi; Ascomycota; Eurotiomycetes; Eurotiales; Aspergillaceae. The record is from RNAcentral.
CACCUCCCAUCCGUGUCUAUCUGUACCCUGUUGCUUCGGCGUGGCCACGGCCCGCCGAAGACUAACAUUUGAACACUGUCUGAAGUUUGCAGUCUGAGUUUUUAGUUAAACAAUAAUUAAAACUUUCAACAACGGAUCUCUUGGUUCCGGCAUCGAUGAAGAACGCAGCGAAAUGCGAUAAUUAAUGUGAAUUGCAGAAUUCAGUGAAUCAUCGAGUCUUUGAACGCACAUUGCGCCCCCUGGUAUUCCGGGGGGCAUGCCUGUCCGAGCGUCAUUGCUGCCCUCAAGCACGGCUUGUGUGUUGGGCUUCCGUCCCUGGUAACGGGGACGGGCCCAAAAGGCAGUGGCGGCACCAUGUCUGGUCCUCGAGCGUAUGGGGCUUUGUCACCCGCUCCCGUAGGUCCAGCUGGCAGCUAGCCUCGCAACCAAUCUUUUUAACCAGGUUGACCUCGGAUCAGGUAGGGAUACCCGCUGAACUUAAGCAUAUCA